This 468-nucleotide ribosomal RNA is filed under the name uncultured bacterium. RNAcentral's name for it is "partial 16S ribosomal RNA". It matches the Rfam family "Bacterial small subunit ribosomal RNA", at positions 28 to 507 of the family's 1533-position model. The record is from RNAcentral.
GACGAACGCUGGCGGCAUGCUUAACACAUGCAAGUCGAACGGAAAGGCCCUGCUUUUGUGGGGUGCUCGAGUGGCGAACGGGUGAGUAACACGUGAGUAACCUGCCCUUGACUUUGGGAUAACUUCAGGAAACUGGGGCUAAUACCGGAUAGGAGCUCCUGCUGCAUGGUGGGGGUUGGAAAGUUUCGGCGGUUGGGGAUGGACUCGCGGCUUAUCAGCUUGUUGGUGGGGUAGUGGCUUACCAAGGCUUUGACGGGUAGCCGGCCUGAGAGGGUGACCGGCCACAUUGGGACUGAGAGACGGCCCAGACUCCUACGGGAGGCAGCAGUGGGGAAUAUUGCACAGUGGGCGGAAGCCUGAUGCAGCAACGCCGCGUGCGUGAUGACGGCCUUCGGGUUGUAAACCGCAUUCGCCUGUGACGAAGCGGGAGUGACGGUAAUGGGUAAAGAAGCACCGGCUAACUACGUG